Molecule: small RNA, 483 nt
Filed under: Pan troglodytes (chimpanzee)
Lineage: Eukaryota; Metazoa; Chordata; Mammalia; Primates; Hominidae
Description: retained intron
Source: RNAcentral
CAUCUGGGGCGCUCUAUGGCCUGUUCCUGACUGCGGCUGCACAGCCCCUGAAGGCCAAGACCAGCCUCCCAGCCUGGUCUGCUGCCAUGGAUGCCGGCCUGGAAGCCAUGCAGAAGUAUGGCAAGGCUGCCCCAGGGGACAGGACUAUGCUGGAUUCUCUGUGGGCAGCAGGGCAGGAGCUCCAAGCCUGGAAGAGCCCAGGAGCUGAUCUGUUACAAGUCCUGACCAAAGCAGUCAAGGUGAGUGAGGCUGGGCCCAGCCACCUGGGGAGACAGGCUUCUAGCCAGCAGACUCCUGUCUCCAUGUGACCCUGAGCAAGUUAAUAACCUUCCUGGACCGCAGUUUCCUUCUCUGUACAAUGGAGAUGAGCACCUAUCUCAGAAGGUGGUUAUGUGGCUAAGGAAAUAUGUAGAGCCCCGCACACUGCCUGGGAUGUGACAGGGCCUCAGUGAAUGGUGACCCUUUUCCCUGCUGGAAGUAGAU